AUUGAACUCUGGCGGCAGGCCUAACACAUGCAAGUCGAACGAGUUGCGGACUGGUGAGUAAUGUCUGUUAACCUGCCUGAUGGAUGGGGAUAACUACUGGAAACGGUAGCUAAUACCGCAUACCAUCAGCUGUGCCCAGAUGGGUGUAGCUUGUGGGUGGGGUAACGGCUCACCUAGGCGACGAUCCCUAACUGGUCUGAGAGGAUGACCAGCCACACUGGAACGGAGACACGGUACAGACUCCUACGGGAGGCAGCAGUGGGGAAUAUUGCACAAUGGGCGCAAGCCUGAUGCAGCCAUGACGCGUGUAUGAAGAAGGCCUUCGGGUUGUAAAGUACUGUCAGCGGGGAGGAGUUACCAGCAGAAGAAGCACCGGCUAACUCAGUGCAAGCAGCCGAGGUAAUUC
Molecule: ribosomal RNA, 406 nt
Filed under: uncultured bacterium
Lineage: Bacteria
Description: partial 16S ribosomal RNA
Rfam family: Bacterial small subunit ribosomal RNA
Source: RNAcentral